Molecule: long non-coding RNA, 233 nt
Filed under: Trifolium pratense (red clover)
Lineage: Eukaryota; Viridiplantae; Streptophyta; Magnoliopsida; Fabales; Fabaceae
Description: long non-coding RNA (TPRA_LNC002385)
Source: RNAcentral
UCUCUGCAAGUUAAGGCCCUAAAAGUAAAGGUGCCUCUUUCUUUUCAUUGUUUGAAUCUUUGUUGGAAUUAGGAUUCCCAACAUGGCCUCUAAGAGGAGGUUCAAAGUGUUUGCUAGCAACAUCAGGAGGAGGUGCAUCUUCUCCAGGAAGCACAAGAAGACCUAUCUCUCGAAGUGAAGACGGCUCAUCAAAGCAUGUGCUCCAAAGGGAGUCUACAAGCAGCCUUUCCUCC